Molecule: small nuclear RNA, 118 nt
Organism: Lycium ferocissimum
Lineage: Eukaryota; Viridiplantae; Streptophyta; Magnoliopsida; Solanales; Solanaceae
Product: U5 spliceosomal RNA
Exons: 1
Source: RefSeq, a predicted model, not a curated record
AGCCACGCAGUGAGCACAAAGCGAGCUAUUUUUUCGCCUUUUACUAAAGAAUAUUGUGUGCGUGUAAUUAGUGGCAUAUGCUAAUUUUUGGAGGGGUACUACCCUCUUUGAGUACCCC